Molecule: ribosomal RNA, 245 nt
Filed under: uncultured Streptococcus sp.
Lineage: Bacteria; Bacillati; Bacillota; Bacilli; Lactobacillales; Streptococcaceae
Description: partial 16S ribosomal RNA
Rfam family: Bacterial small subunit ribosomal RNA
Source: RNAcentral
CGUAGGUAACCUGCCUGGUAGCGGGGGAUAACUAUUGGAAACGAUAGCUAAUACCGCAUAAGAGUAGAUGUUGCAUGACAUUUGCUUAAAAGGUGCAAUUGCAUCACUACCAGAUGGACCUGCGUUGUAUUAGCUAGUUGGUGGGGUGACGGCUCACCAAGGCGACGAUACAUAGCCGACCUGAGAGGGUGAUCGGCCACACUGGGACUGAGACACGGCCCAGACUCCUACGGGAGGCAGCAGAC